Non-coding RNA from Brassica napus (rape), 125 nucleotides. The record is from Rfam. NCBI's taxonomy places the organism in Eukaryota, Viridiplantae, Streptophyta, Magnoliopsida, Brassicales, Brassicaceae.
GGAAUAUAAGAACUCGUCUCUUAACUUUUAAUUAAAAAAACUAAUAACCAGUUCUUAAAUAUCUUAUUUAAAAACUGGUUCUUAGCUUUUUUAGUUAAAAGUUAAGAAACAUAUUCUUAUAUUCC